Anguilla rostrata (American eel) is the source of this 1076-nucleotide long non-coding RNA. RefSeq lists it as uncharacterized. The transcript is spliced from 3 exons. The record is from RefSeq and is a predicted model, not a curated record. Lineage: Eukaryota; Metazoa; Chordata; Actinopteri; Anguilliformes; Anguillidae.
UCACUGUUGAACUUGGAACUCUGCUCUAGUCCCUGAUACUCUUUCAAAUCAAGGUUAAGGUAGGUAUGACUCUGGGUGUGAACUGUUAAUCCCCUUUAGUUUGUUAACACAGGAAAAAAGCUGGAGAGAUUUGUGUUUAUUUGUUCUUUGAACAGUAGAGUGCUUAAAUGUGAAGUGGUACUGCAGGUUGAGACUUGAAGAUUGGCGUUAUUGAGAGGAAAGCCUCUUCAUCCUGGGACCGGGCUGUCAUCAAAGAAAGCGCCAGGUAGCGCCAUUCAGAGAAUCCACAGAGCGCAGCAGAAACCGCCUCCCCCUGCCAGCACUUGUAAAUCAAGGGAAGUAAUGGGUGGAUAAUGACCGUCUGGAGCAGAUUGAAUGAUAACAAACUGCGCGUGGCACAGCGCAUUUUCAUUUUCACCGUCGUCACGGGGAGCCCCCCCGGCGCCGUGGCGGCCGGCUCGGCUGGCUCUUUUUUUUUUUGGCAAGCCUGUAAAUUCCGGGAGAGAGGGGCGGAACGUCAGCCCGGGAGACGCCGUGACAAGAAAUGCCGAUGAUUUAAUCCCACCCGUCAGGGCUGCUCAGGGCGCCCCUGAGCCACGGAUCUGAGCUGAGCCGACGCCGGCAGUCUCGCGUAUCUCCAAAAAGAAGAGGAUAAAAACCACAGCGUACACUUUCAGAAUAAUGGAUAAGUAGACAGCUCGGUCUCUGCGUUUUGGGGUGGAGGUUCAUUUGGCUGCUAAUUGGUGACAGAAACUGUCAAAUGGGUAACAGGGUGACUGUCAUGAUCAGGUGAGAGGGCUUUUUCUUUCCAAAGAAAGGUAAAAAAUAAUAAAAUAAUGACGCCUUCUCUUUCCUUCUCCUACUACCUGCUCAUCUCUUAUCUGCUGAAAGUACACAGAAAACAAAGCAGUCAGAGCAACAACAAAAAUAAAUCUAAAAAAAUGUUUUUUCUCUCCCUCUCCUUCUCUGUCUCAUCUUUUUGUCUCCUGUCCUCUCUGCGAGGUUUAUCAGAAUGUUUGUUUGUUGAGUCGUGUUUGUUUGCUCGCAGGAUAAUGCGACAUGCCAGCAGCGUUCAG